GACGAACGCUGGCGGCGUGCCUAAUACAUGCAAGUAGAACGCUGAAGGAGGAGCUUGCUUCUCUGGAUGAGUUGCGAACGGGUGAGUAACGCGUAGGUAACCUGCCUGGUAGCGGGGGAUAACUAUUGGAAACGAUAGCUAAUACCGCAUAACAGUAGAUAUCGCAUGGUAUCUACUUGAAAGGUGCAAUUGCAUCACUACCAGAUGGACCUGCGUUGUAUUAGCUAGUUGGUGAGGUAACGGCUCACCAAGGCGACGAUACAUAGCCGACCUGAGAGGGUGAUCGGCCACACUGGGACUGAGACACGGCCCAGACUCCUACGGGAGGCAGCAGUAGGGAAUCUUCGGCAAUGGACGGAAGUCUGACCGAGCAACGCCGCGUGAGUGAAGAAGGUUUUCGGAUCGUAAAGCUCUGUUGUAAGAGAAGAACGAGUGUGAGAGUGGAAAGUUCACACUGUGACGGUAUCUUACCAGAAAGGGACGGCUAACUACGUG
Molecule: ribosomal RNA, 495 nt
Filed under: uncultured bacterium
Lineage: Bacteria
Description: partial 16S ribosomal RNA
Rfam family: Bacterial small subunit ribosomal RNA
Source: RNAcentral